This is a long non-coding RNA of Stegostoma tigrinum, 328 nucleotides long. RefSeq lists it as uncharacterized. The transcript is spliced from 3 exons. The record is from RefSeq and is a predicted model, not a curated record. Lineage: Eukaryota; Metazoa; Chordata; Chondrichthyes; Orectolobiformes; Stegostomatidae.
GGCAUCGCUGGUUGUGCCUGGCAGCAUUUAUUGCCCAUCCCUAAUUGCCCAGCGGACAAGUUAUGAGUCCAACACAUUGCUGUGGGCCUGGAGUCACAUGUAGGUCAGACCAGCCUAUGUACUGGGGCCUGAGAUGUUAUCAUUCUGAGGACUGUUCUGAAGCUCCUAUUGAAAUAUUGAUUUAUUCUAAUAGAUUGAUGGGUCACAAUUGAAAACAAGGCUCCCCACCUCCUCAGUACUACCUGCCUGUCCACCUAUCUUUGUAUCAUCGGCAAGCUUCGCCAGAUGUUAGGAACCAACUGGAAGAUGAGUUGAGAAGACUGUAGGU